Non-coding RNA from Podarcis lilfordi (Lilford's wall lizard), 72 nucleotides. The record is from the annotation of a GenBank genome assembly. Lineage: Eukaryota; Metazoa; Chordata; Lepidosauria; Squamata; Lacertidae.
GGACCUUAGCUCAGUGGUUAGAGCAUCUGCCUAACAUGCAGAAGGUCCCAGGCUCAACUCUUGCCAUCUUCA